Long non-coding RNA from Chinchilla lanigera (long-tailed chinchilla), 3113 nucleotides. RefSeq lists it as uncharacterized. The transcript has 2 exons. The record is from RefSeq and is a predicted model, not a curated record. Lineage: Eukaryota; Metazoa; Chordata; Mammalia; Rodentia; Chinchillidae.
GGCUUUGAACUUGUGAUCCACCUGCCCCAGCCUCUUGAAUAGUUGGGAUAGUGGAUAUAUACCAGCGUAUCUGGUUAUUACUCAUUUUGAUGCUCAGACUUUCCUAACAUGGCUAAUGAAAGCUGGUCCCCCAGGUUCUUUUCAUGUGCCCCACUAACUUUUUGAGCACUACUUAUUUUUUGACAGAGACUAAUGUUCUAGGCUUAUCUUGUAUUUUCCUUGCCCAGCCCUCGAUUCUUUUCAUAGGUGUAUCAUUUAGAGGCUAAAAUUGGUACUAGAUGAAGCUAUUCACAUUGACACUGGACAGUCAUUUCUUCUAGAUAUUUUCAGCAUCCAACUAGGAAAUAUUUAUACAAGUAAGUAUGUGUGUUUAAUGUGGGAUACACAUACAUGUAAAUAAUAUUAUGUUUUUCCAUCAUGAGUUCAAACUUACAGUCCAAUGCCAUGGGUUUUUCUUUGCCUGCCCCCCCUCCAUGUUUAGGUCUCUUCCCAUAGUUGUGAACUGGGCUUCCAUUGCCUUAUAUGUAUUUUACUCAUUUGUUCAAAUGUUGCAGUGCAUAAAAGUUUUGAAAUCACUGUAGCUGUGUCAACAGUUAGCCUUCUAAGUAAAGCUCUGAACUUUUUCCUAGUUCUUUUUGUCUUUAAACAGAAAGCACAUGGUUAAGUCACUUGGAUUAGUAACUGAGUGCUAAUAUUUAUUAGUAAGAGUCCUUUGUGAAGCUUAGAGAUUACUUCAAAAAAUUUCCCAUUCUUUGUUGACUUUAUUUUACUGUGCACGCAGUGGAUCAACAGUUACACCAAUGCCGGAGAUUUAACGUUGUCUGAGAGUAAUGGUCAGCUGUGGAGCGCUGUUCCAAGAUGCCUCGUGGGAUUUUAUGCUGUUUGAGCUCAACAAAAGGACACAGCCAGACCAUAAAGUUGGGAUAGCUUAAGAAGAAGGUCUGACAUCAAUGCUCAAUGGUUGGCAGACUUCUGCAGCAUCAACAUUCUAUAGAAUUUGUGUGGUCUUCGAAGGGCCACUGAUCAACACGGCUUCAUGAGCUUGGGCAGGUAAAGAACGCAGGCUACAGAUGUUUCCUGAGUGCCUGGUAAAGUGAUAUAUAUUUGGCCUGUAGGAGACUCCCUCGUAAGCCAUAGACAACUUGGCCUACUCAUUCUCUCUGAGGAAAUCCAAGGAAUGAAAGAAAAUUUUUGAGCUAAUCCUGAAUUUUUUCUCAAAACAAAAAUACCUAUUAUGGUAUACUUACCAUCACUUAACAAAUUAUAAUGGCAAACACUCUGAAGAACAAGCAGGCGAGGAAAUAGUGUACUUAAAGCUUUACCUGGUAGGAACAAUAGGAUGACUACCACAGGCCUGAUUUUGAAUAGUUUAUUAAAGGAAAGGUGAAGCAUCAGUUUCAAAUUGUACAAAAGGAAAAAAAAACCUCAUAUUGCAAAUGUACCAUUUACAGAAUUACUAGCAAAACCAAUCAAGGAGACACUGAAAAUACAAAAAUUUGAUUUGACUUCAAACUGAACUGGAAACCCAUUGGAGUAGAUUGCUUGGUAGUCUAUAAUUCUAAGUUGGCAUGUUUUCCACAAGAGACUUGUCAAGCAAAGAACCAGGCACGUGCCAGGCCCUUCCACUCUUGUUCCCUGGCCAGAACUACAGGCGGGCAGGGUUGGAGUGGACUGUCCAGUCAUUCCUGCCUUUUUACUUCCAGUGAAGCCCACCCCCCUUAGUUAGAGCCCAGGAACUGCUGAAUUAGCAGUUAAAACUGUUUUGGUGACCAAGAUUUUUUUUUUUUAAACUGUACCAAUCGUGAGAAAAAUCUCAGUUUUGUGUCCAUUUACUCAACGAUAAAUAAAAUCCAUUUUGCUUUUCCACACAAAAGAAUCACUGGGUACACAGAAUUUUAAAAAAAUGUCUUGUUUUUGGUAAAAAGAGAAAACCUCAUGAUUCUGUUGUAGUUACUUAAAAAACAGCUCAGAAACAGCUGUGGAUGGAUUGGUUUGGAAAUUCUGAGGCUUACAUUAAAAGUUAGGAAGAAACUACAUGGGCUUUUAAAAAUAAUAACAAGUCUUAAAAAUCCUAAGCAGAUUAUAACUCUAAACCAUUGAAGACUGUCCUGAAGAUUCAUAAUUUCUUACCCCCAAAGAAUUAUUAAUAUGCACAUUUAACACUGAAAUGUAAGCUGUAUUUCAAGGUAAGCUUAGGAAUUUCAUCCUCUAAGCACAGACUUCUAUGCAGCACAUACUUCUAUAAUUGGCAAACAUAAUUCACAAAAUUAGUGCAUAAGGAUAUUAACUGCAUGGGAAGUAGACACGGUUAUGUUACACUUAAAUUACUUUUGAACGGCAAAGGAUUUCCUCAUGAUUAUCUUUGUAAGAAAAUGGAAGUCUGUGUAACCUGAAUUUGGCAGGGCAUGAAGUAAGUGGUAAAAACAGCAAACUGAUAACUUGAGAACCAGUUUUGUUUUACUGAGAAUACUUUAUUUGCUGGUAGAAGUUGCUAAAAAUGCACAGAACAAAUACCAAUAGAAAAUGCACUGUAUUCGAAUCUCCCUAUUCUAUAUAAAAUGAAUGGUGUACAGCAUCUGUUGGAAAAAUGGCUGCAUGGACAUUUAUUUUAUGUCCACUUAUAAAUAAAAAUAAACCUUUUUAUUCAAGAGUAUAUAAAAUCUGGGAAUUCAUAUCCAUAUCCACAGAAGGUGUGUGGUUUUGGCAGAGAUGCACGAUGUCAAUUUCAUCUUAGCUUGUCGGUAUUCUGUUCUUUCUUGUUUCUGUGUUCACAAGGUCAACCAAAUCCAGUGAGCUCCAAAAACACUCUUCAGCAAUUAGGAUAAGCUGCUUACUCAUAGGUUUAAUAAAAAUGGUUAGCUUUUAAAACAUAAAAAGGCAAAAUGUUAAAACGGUUUUUAAAUUGUACAACAGGAAAAUAAAGUUAAAAAUAUUUUUUUUUUUACUCAAUGUUGAGUUUUCAUAAAACAGGUGUAUAACAGUGUUUAUCUUGACAGCUGUUUUAAAAAUUUAAAAUUUCUUCCUCCCUCCAGAAAAACACACACAUCUGUACUGAGAUAAGUCCAAUAUUAGGACACAAAUGAUUUUUUGGGUCAGUCUUUCUGAGGUGACAU